UUCGGCCGGUCAGCGGUUCCUCCGCUGCCCUUCAAGCCGUCGCCGACGCAUCCCCAAUCGAUAAUAUCGAGCGAUCCAGUCGCCUUCUCGCGGCGCGGC
Molecule: non-coding RNA, 99 nt
Filed under: Pseudomonas sp. 8AS
Lineage: Bacteria; Pseudomonadati; Pseudomonadota; Gammaproteobacteria; Pseudomonadales; Pseudomonadaceae
Description: Pseudomon-Rho
Rfam family: Pseudomon-Rho RNA
Source: RNAcentral